CUCCAGCUGUCCCAGUGAGCUUCUACCAGAGGGAUGAUGUUUGGGGUGAACAUCCAUCUAACUUUCAAGAGAACACAACCUCUGACCAGAGACCCAGUACCCACCAAGGACAUACCAACAGAACACAUAGUGCUUGUAGUAUGAGACAGGCAUGUCGGUGGAGUUCUGUCUCUGAACAAUGUACAUCUGUUGAGAGGGCAAUAUUGGUGGCAAUAGGUGAACUGGAAUUCAAAAUCAAUCACCUGACUUCAGUAGUCCAGUCCCUUGCAGGAAAUAGACAGCUC
Paramisgurnus dabryanus is the source of this 284-nucleotide non-coding RNA. The record is from RefSeq and is a predicted model, not a curated record. Lineage: Eukaryota; Metazoa; Chordata; Actinopteri; Cypriniformes; Cobitidae.